This is a long non-coding RNA of Zingiber officinale, 1731 nucleotides long. RefSeq lists it as uncharacterized. The record is from RefSeq and is a predicted model, not a curated record. The transcript has 2 exons. NCBI's taxonomy places the organism in Eukaryota, Viridiplantae, Streptophyta, Magnoliopsida, Zingiberales, Zingiberaceae.
CUCAGAUACUGUAGUUAGGGUAGAUUUCUACUUUGAUAUAUUAUUCUUCUCCCUGAGAUUUUUGUUUCCUGAAAUUGUGUUUUGAGAGCAAGAUUGCUCCUUAAUUGCAUACAUAUCUGUUCCCCACAUGUAUUUUAAUAAGUUGUAAAAUUGUCUUUAAUUUUGUGAAGUUGGAAGUUAUAUUGCUUAAUUAUGUAAUUAUUUUUGGAGUCUCACGUUAUAGAGUAUAAUUCAGUCCUGAGUCGCUAGUAUGGUCAUUAAAUAUUAUGUUGGAGUCUUGUGUGAGUGUAAUAUUUCUCUUUUUCUGAAUUUAAAAAUGCUUAUUUGGUACCAGAGAUAGCUUCUUUUUUAUAGGAUUUCUUCCCUCAUCCCAUUCAAGGGGAGGCCACUGGUUUGAUGUAUUGCAGCUUCCCUUCUUGAUUCAACUUCCUAUCCUCUCCCCAUACUCUCAUGAAACUGGAUCACUGCUGGUUAUAGCACCAUGCCACCAUGGCCAAAUCUGCUCAUCUUAGCUCUAUGCAAUCUCCUUCGGUGCCCAAGGUGGAGCAACCAAUAAACCUUGCUUCUCGUUGUGACAUAACUCAGCUACUCUUGUUUUGGUGGUUGCUUUGCUCUGCUACAGGGUAGCAUUAGUGCUGUGGUGGAGAGAUUUGGCAUUACUUUGGUGAAGUCAUUGGUCAAAUUGUGCUUCAGGAGAACAUAAUUUCUAUUGUGGCACCACCAAGCAUAUAAUAUCUUCUCCAAACACCUAGGAUUAUUUAUCUAUUUGUGGAUCUACUUUUGUAAUUUGUACCGUUAGCUCGGCAUCGACUAAGAGCAAUGCCCAUAGUUCAUACUACUCCACCUUGAAGGUAGUGUUGGAGUUAAUAAUAUAGUCCUGCUGUCUAAAGUAUUAUGCUGCAGUCUUGUAUAUGUCUAUGACUGUAAUGUUUCUCUUUUCUCAAUCUAUUUUUUACUAUUCUCAUCAUGCUUUUAGAAUGAUAAAAGCCACUAAUACCAUAUCUCUAAAUAUGGUUAUAGAAUCCUUUUUUACUGUUGCUACCAGCUUGUUUAUAGGUUGCUAAAACAAAUGGAGGGCGGAUCUGCAUGUCCAGUAGUGUUCUAGAUGAUAAUUGGCAACUGGUGGAUUCUUCUUCUAUACCCAAGUUUUGGUUUGAUUCAUUCACUUUGUUAUAUAAAACAUGGAGUUUCACUUUGCUUAUAAACUCAUGUAUGACAUAGCAAGUGUUUGAUAACUUACAAAGUUCAAGAUUAAAAUUUGGAAUCUUGUGAAGAUUGCACACUUCCUAAUGGAGACAUUGGAAAUUCUUUUGGCAUAUACGUGCGUGUCUGUGUUUUGCUAUAUGUUUUGUGCACACAUCCAUUGUCUUUUGUUGAGUUUUCCAAACUAGAAGAAAUUGUUUUUUCUUCCUUUCUUUCUUUCAAUUUUUUUGUAUCAGGGAACUUAUAAAAUGACUAUUUACCUUACUAUGGGUGGCCACUAUCAAUGUUACUUGGUAUCAGCGUGACAUAUCCACUAAUAUGAUUGACUCACUUAAUGAAAAAAAUUAUAGAAGUACCUUUCCAAUCUGAAAAAGAGAUGUAUGAAACUUCAUGAUUCAUCCUGUCAAAAGUAAUAGUUUUCAUGUAAUUGAUAAAUUUUUUGUUUAAGUUCCAUAAAUGAUCGAGUGGCUUAUAUUUUCUGAAAUUAUAGUUCCAUUGUCCAUUAUAUCUGAAGGUUAUUGUUUUUUG